Molecule: ribosomal RNA, 670 nt
Filed under: uncultured bacterium
Lineage: Bacteria
Description: bacterial SSU rRNA
Rfam family: Bacterial small subunit ribosomal RNA
Source: RNAcentral
ACACAUGCAGUCGAGCGGCAGCGACACAUUGAACCUUCGGGGGAUUUGUUGGGCGGCGAGCGGCGGACGGGUGAGUAAUGCCUGGGAAAUUGCCCUGAUGUGGGGGAUAACCAUUGGAAACGAUGGCUAAUACCGCAUGAUAGCUUCGGCUCAAAGAGGGGGACCUUCGGGCCUCUCGCGUCAGGAUAUGCCCAGGUGGGAUUAGCUAGUUGGUGAGGUAAGGGCUCACCAAGGCGACGAUCCCUAGCUGGUCUGAGAGGAUGAUCAGCCACACUGGAACUGAGGCACGGUCCAGACUCCUACGGGAGGCAGCAGUGGGGAAUAUUGCACAAUGGGCGCAAGCCUGAUGCAGCCAUGCCGCGUGUAUGAGGAAGGCCUUCGGGUUGUAAAGUACUUUCAGCAGUGAGGAAGGGGGUAUCGUUAAUAGCGGUAUCCUUUGACGUUAGCUGCAGAAGAAGCACCGGCUAACUCCGUGCCAGCAGCCGCGGUAAUACGGAGGGUGCGAGCGUUAAUCGGAAUUACUGGGCGUAAAGCGCAUGCAGGUGGUUUGUUAAGUCAGAUGUGAAAGCCCGGGGCUCAACCUCGGAAUUGCAUUUGAAACUGGCAGGCUAGAGUACUGUAGAGGGGGGUAGAAUUUCAGGUGUAGCGGUGAAAUGCGUAGAGAUCUGAA